RNAcentral lists this ribosomal RNA (254 nucleotides) under uncultured bacterium. Its description in RNAcentral is "partial 16S ribosomal RNA". It matches the Rfam family "Bacterial small subunit ribosomal RNA", at positions 524 to 776 of the family's 1533-position model. The record is from RNAcentral.
GACGAACCGUGCGAACGUUAUUCGGAAUCACUGGGCUUAAAGCGCGUGUAGGCGGGCCGCCACGUCAGUCGCUGAAAUCCCCCGGCUCAACCGGGGAAGUGGCACUGAUACGAGCGGCCUGGAGGGAGGUAGGGGGGGCUGGAACUUCCGGUGGAGCGGUGAAAUGCGUUGAGAUCGGAAGGAACGCCCGUGGCGAAAGCGAGCCCCUGAACCUUUUCUGACGCUGAGACGCGAAAGCUAGGGGAGCGAACGGG